This 24-nucleotide microRNA is filed under the name Monodelphis domestica (gray short-tailed opossum). RNAcentral describes it as "mdo-miR-7386k-5p". Lineage: Eukaryota; Metazoa; Chordata; Mammalia; Didelphimorphia; Didelphidae. The record is from miRBase by way of RNAcentral.
UGUGGGCCAUGUUCUUCAAUUUGU